Callorhinus ursinus (northern fur seal) is the source of this 2439-nucleotide long non-coding RNA. RefSeq lists it as uncharacterized. The record is from RefSeq and is a predicted model, not a curated record. NCBI's taxonomy places the organism in Eukaryota, Metazoa, Chordata, Mammalia, Carnivora, Otariidae.
AUAAAUAAAAUCUUAAAAAAAAAAGUUUUUGGUUCCCUGAUAAAAUUUCCAAGGCUGUCUAUUCCUUGACCCUAGUGAACAUAAUUGUUUUGUAAUCCGAGUUUGCUAAAUCCAAUUAUCUGAAGGUUUUUGUAGUUUGUUUCUGUUGUUGUUGUUUCUGCUGGUUUUCACUUGUGGAGUCUUGUUUUCUUGUGUGUUUGGUUAUCUUUAUAUGUUGAACCAUGUAUUUGAAAAGAGAUAUACAGGAAUAAUAUAAGUCUAAGUAGUAUAUAAUGCUAUCUUCUUUCAGAGAUUUUAUUUUUCUCUGAUAGGUAACCGAAGACCUUACUAGUCAAGGACCACCGUAAUACAGGUUCAAGGCCUCAAUUCCUCUUGACCACCAAAAUGACAAAAAUCUGAGCUGAAAACUUGGCAAGGACUUUUUACUUACAGCUCUUCCUUGAGGGUGAACUUCAGGGUUCUAGAUUCAAGUAGAUGUGGAUUUCUUAGAGUGCCUACCUUGGUGGGUCCUAGACUUUGCGUUUUGCAUCCCUAACCCUACAAACCCACCAAAAGUGUAGCUCAGUUGCAGUACAAAGCUAUUAACUACACAACUUGCAAGUACCCUGAAGCCAAAUAUGUGGCUUUAUGUGCUACAUUUACAAGGGACAAGCAUGUGGUUCAGGGAAGAGAUGCAAGAGAUAAAAGGUCUGGACUAGAGUAUUAGAGAGAUUCAGCGGAUUCUUAGGUAGAAUCUAAUUCAGUGAUUAUUUAACUGAGGGUAUGAAGGAGGAAGCAGUCAAGAAUGACUGUUUUCUGGUUUGAGCUACUGAGUACAAGUGUCAGUAACAGAGGAGAUUUACAGGGGAGGAUGAUGAGGUUCCAUUUUGGAUGCUUUGAAUUUGAGAUGCCUUUGAAUCAUCUAAGCAGUGUUGUCUUUGAAGCAGCUGGACAUAGAGGGCUACAGGAGGCCUUGGACUGGAGUUAGCCUGUUGAUAAUUGAACCCUAGGAAGUAGGGAUGAUCUCACCCAGGGAAAGAAUAUCAAGUGUGAGGUAACGACCUAGAUUUGAACCUGAAGAAUGUCAACAUAUUAGAGACAUGCAGGAGAGUAAACUGAAGACAAAUGAUUAGAGCAAGAGAAGAAAACAAGAAUGUGAUGUCAUCAAAGCCAAGAGAAAAGAAUCAUCAGUAGUGUCAAAUGCUUCCUAGAGGGGCACCUGACUGGCUCAGUAAGUAGAGCAUUGGACGCUUGAGCUCGUCGGGAUCAUGAGUUCAGGACCCACAUUGGGGAUAGAAUUUACUAAAAAACAAAACAAGACAAAAAAUGCUCCCUGGAGAUCAAGGUAAGGAAUGAUCCACUGAGUUUAGUGACCUCAUUUGUAACCUUGCAAAGCAGUUCUGGUAGAGUGGAGGGGCAGAAACCAGACUACAGUGCACUGAGGAUGAUUGGGCAGUGAAAAAUGCAGAAAAUAAUUCAGCAACAUGGAUUAUUAAUCUCAAAAUCAGUAUGUUGAGCAAAAGAAGCCUACUCAAGAAUGCAUACUAUAAGGACUCCCUUUGGAUGAAAUCCCUGAGCAGGCCAAACUAAUUUAUGGUGACAGCAAGCAGAUGGUGUUUUGAACUGCUUUAUGAACAGAUCCGUUUGGAUUGUACACCUCCUAGUGAAUAGUACUCACUGAGCCAUGUAUUCAAAAUACUGAAUAAUGCUACAUGUAAAGUCACUGUGGAAGGUGCUUUGAAGACUACAAACAUGAAUGAGACAUGGUCCUUACUCUUCAGGAGCUUGCAGUCCAGGGAAAAAUAAGUGAGACAUGCCUACAAGAAACUGACAGACAAUAAAGUGGGCACAGAUAAAGAACUGCUGAUGGUUCUCAGAAACAGUAAUUUCUAUUUGAGGAUGUUAGAAGCAAAGAGACCAUUGAGGAGACUAGUUUAAUAGUUCAGCCAAAAGAUUAUCAGCGCUUGAACUAGAAGAGAGGCAAUGAAGACUGAGAGGGAGAAAAGGAUAGUAGAGCCGUUGCAGAAGCAGAAAUUAGAUACGGAGAGUGAGGAGACAAAUACAGAAUGAAGUCAAAGUUUACUUGGUCAGCCAAGUGCAUGGUGGAGCCUUUCACGCUGAUAAGACAAUUCAAGAGGAAGAGCAAUUUGACAGAUUAGAAGGCAGAAGUCAGUACGCUCAUUCCAUCUCCCUCUCUCUAGACUUCGUCCCUGUGGCCUACAGUUGAGUGGUGGCCAUAUUCCUAUGCCUAAGGGUCAAUUCUGUCAGCCUAUGGAGGUCAUAGCGCCAAAAUGGUGCUAGCCCCUAGGAGCUUUACAACUUGUUGACUGUAAUUCAGCCCACGUCUUUCUAUACCCCUUCAUUAACUCUUCUCAGUAACCCUAUUUGUUACUCCUUUCUGUCAGGACCUUAAACACGUCGUACUUGUGUAUUUUUAAAUAAAGUGUGUAUAUUGAGUGU